RNAcentral lists this transfer RNA (58 nucleotides) under Salmo salar (Atlantic salmon). It matches the Rfam family "tRNA", at positions 8 to 63 of the family's 71-position model. From Rfam's summary of the family: Transfer RNA (tRNA) molecules are approximately 80 nucleotides in length. The record is from Rfam by way of RNAcentral. Lineage: Eukaryota; Metazoa; Chordata; Actinopteri; Salmoniformes; Salmonidae.
UAGCUCAGUUGGCAGAGCAUGGUGUUUGCAACGCCAGGGUUGUGGGUUCGGUUCCCAC